RNAcentral lists this ribosomal RNA (368 nucleotides) under uncultured organism. RNAcentral describes it as "bacterial LSU rRNA". It matches the Rfam family "Bacterial large subunit ribosomal RNA", at positions 2099 to 2465 of the family's 2925-position model. The record is from RNAcentral.
CUUGACUGUAUCCUGGAAUUGGGUUCGGGCUUUUCUUGCGCAGUCUAGGUGGGAGGCUAUGAAGAUUUCCUUCCGGGGAAGUUGGAGCCAUCAGUGAGAGACCACUCUGGAGAGGCUAGAAUCCUAAUGGUGAUCCUUGAAUCGGGACACUUGACAGUUUCAGGUGGGCAGUUUCUCUGGGGCGGAGGCCUCAUAAAAGGUAACUGAGGCGCGCAAAGGUCCCCUCAGUCUGGACGGAAAUCAGACAACGAGUGUAAAGGCAAAAGGGGGCUUGACUGCAAGACCUACAAGUCGAGCAGGAGCGAAAGCUGGCCUUAGUGAUCCGACGGUACCGUGUGGAAGGGCCGUCGCUCAACGAAUAAAAGUUA